This 496-nucleotide ribosomal RNA is filed under the name uncultured bacterium. Its description in RNAcentral is "partial 16S ribosomal RNA". It matches the Rfam family "Bacterial small subunit ribosomal RNA", at positions 28 to 507 of the family's 1533-position model. The record is from RNAcentral.
GAUGAACGCUGGCGGCGUGCCUAAUACAUGCAAGUCGAGCGAACAGAUGAGGAGCUUGCUCCUCUGACGUUAGCGGCGGACGGGUGAGUAACACGUGGAUAACCUACCUAUAAGACUGGGAUAACUUCGGGAAACCGGAGCUAAUACUGGAUAAUAUAUUGAACCGCAUGGUUCAAUAGUGAAAGACGGUUUUGCUGUCACUUAUAGAUGGAUCCGCGCCGCAUUAGCUAGUUGGUAAGGUAACGGCUUCCAAGGCAACGAUGCGUAGCCGACCUGAGAGGGUGAUCGGCCACACUGGAACUGAGACACGGUCCAGACUCCUACGGGAGGCAGCAGUAGGGAAUCUUCCGCAAUGGGCGAAAGCCUGACGGAGCAACGCCGCGUGAGUGAUGAAGGUCUUCGGAUCGUAAAACUCUGUUAUUAGGGAAGAACAAAUGUGUAAGUAACUAUGCACGUCUUGACGGUACCUAAUCAGAAAGCCACGGCUAACUACGUG